CUUUGUUUUUAUUUUUGAAUUUGUUUGAUAUUGUUUUUAUACUUUUGUUUUUAAUUCGUGAUGUCAAUCGGAGCAAAUGAUAUGAAUGCAUUGCAAGUGCUUUGUUUUCUCCACCGUAUGUAUGUUAUUUGAUUUAAUAAAUGUUACAGAGAGACACGACUGGUCUUUGUGGUCAGUCUUUCAUAGGUCUUCCAGUCGGACCUAUUUAAUACAUGCAAGGA
RNAcentral lists this long non-coding RNA (221 nucleotides) under Mytilus galloprovincialis (Mediterranean mussel). Lineage: Eukaryota; Metazoa; Mollusca; Bivalvia; Mytilida; Mytilidae. The record is from RNAcentral.